AGAAUCAACGCUGGCGGCGUGCCUAACACAUGCAAGUCGAACGAGAAAGUGGAGCAAUCCAUGAGUAAAGUGGCGCACGGGUGAGUAACACGUGACUAACCUACCCUUGAGUGGGGGAUAACCUAGGGAAACCUGGGCUAAUACCGCAUAAUACCUUCGGGUCAAAGGAGCAAUUCGCUUAAGGAGGGGGUCGCGGCCGAUUAGUUAGUUGGCGGGUAAUGGCCCACAAGACUGUGAUCGGUAUCCC
Molecule: ribosomal RNA, 247 nt
Filed under: uncultured bacterium
Lineage: Bacteria
Description: partial small subunit ribosomal RNA
Rfam family: Bacterial small subunit ribosomal RNA
Source: RNAcentral